AUACGAAGGGGGCGAGCGUUGUUCGGAAUUACUGGGCGUAAAGGGAGCGCAGGCGGUUCAUUAAGUUAGGCGUGAAAGCCCCGGGCUCAACCUGGGAACUGCGUUUAAUACUGAUGAACUAGAAAACAGGAGAGGGUAGUGGAAUUUCCAGUGUAGAGGUGAAAUUCGUAGAUAUUAGAAAGAACACCGGUGGCGAAAGCGCUCUACUGGACCAUUACUGACACUCAGAGGCGAAAGCUAGGGUAGCAAAAGGGAUUAGAUACCCCUGUAGUCCUAGCCGUAAACGAUGGAUACUAGAUGUUGUAUGUUAUUUACAGUAUCGUAGCUAACGCGUUAAGUAUCCCGCCUGGGGAGUACGCUCGCAAGGGUGAAACUCAAAGGAAUUGACGGGGGCCCGCACAAGCGGUGGAGCAUGUGGUUUAAUUCGAUGCAACGCGAAGAACCUUACCAGGGCUUGACAUACUACAGAUUCUUUUGAGAGAGAGAAGUGCCUUCGGGAAUGUAGAUACAGGU
RNAcentral lists this ribosomal RNA (513 nucleotides) under uncultured cyanobacterium. Its description in RNAcentral is "bacterial SSU rRNA". It matches the Rfam family "Bacterial small subunit ribosomal RNA", at positions 523 to 1039 of the family's 1533-position model. Lineage: Bacteria; Bacillati; Cyanobacteriota. The record is from RNAcentral.